This 75-nucleotide transfer RNA is filed under the name Acholeplasma sp. RNAcentral's name for it is "tRNA-Val". It matches the Rfam family "tRNA". Rfam says of the family: Transfer RNA (tRNA) molecules are approximately 80 nucleotides in length. Their secondary structure includes four short double-helical elements and three loops (D, anti-codon, and T loops). Lineage: Bacteria; Bacillati; Mycoplasmatota; Mollicutes; Acholeplasmatales; Acholeplasmataceae. The record is from RNAcentral.
GAAGAUAUAGCUCAGUGGGAGAGCAUCUGCUUGACGUGCAGAGGGUCGGGGGUUCAAAUCCCUCUAUCUUCACCA